GACGUAGGGGGCGAGCGUUGUCCGGAUUUAUUGGGCGUAAAGCGUGCGUAGGCGGCUGCGCAAGUCGGUUGUGAAACCCCGGGGCUCAACCCCGGAACUGCAUCCGAUACUGCGUGGCUAGAGGUAGGUAGGGGAGAUCGGAAUUCCUGGUGUAGCGGUGAAAUGCGCAGAUAUCAGGAGGAACACCGGUGGCGAAAGCGACCUCCUGGACCAAUACUGACGCUCAGGUGCGAAAGCGUGGGGAGCAAACAGG
This 253-nucleotide ribosomal RNA is filed under the name uncultured bacterium. RNAcentral describes it as "partial 16S ribosomal RNA". It matches the Rfam family "Bacterial small subunit ribosomal RNA", at positions 524 to 776 of the family's 1533-position model. The record is from RNAcentral.